RNAcentral lists this ribosomal RNA (490 nucleotides) under uncultured bacterium. Its description in RNAcentral is "partial 16S ribosomal RNA". It matches the Rfam family "Bacterial small subunit ribosomal RNA", at positions 28 to 507 of the family's 1533-position model. The record is from RNAcentral.
GAUGAACGCUAGCUACAGGCUUAACACAUGCAAGUCGCGGGGCAGCAUGGGGGUUGCUUGCAAUCCCCGAUGGCGACCGGCGCACGGGUGAGUAACGCGUAUCCAACCUGCCCUUCACCACGGGAUAACCCGGCGAAAGUCGGACUAAUACCGUAUGUUGUCCAUUGACGGCAUCCGAUUUGGACGAAAGGUUUGGCGGUGAAGGAUGGGGAUGCGUCCGAUUAGCUGGACGGCGGGGUGACGGCCCACCGUGGCGACGAUCGGUAGGGGUUCUGAGAGGAAGGUCCCCCACACUGGAACUGAGACACGGUCCAGUCUCCUACGGGAGGCAGCAGUGAGGAAUAUUGGUCAAUGGGCGUAAGCCUGAACCAGCCAAGUAGCGUGCAGGAUGACGGCCCUAUGGGUUGUAAACUGCUUUUAUGCGGGGAUAAAGUGGCCCACGUGUGGGUUUUUGCAGGUACCGCAUGAAUAAGGACCGGCUAAUUCCGUG